RNAcentral lists this ribosomal RNA (501 nucleotides) under uncultured bacterium. RNAcentral's name for it is "bacterial SSU rRNA". It matches the Rfam family "Bacterial small subunit ribosomal RNA", at positions 38 to 573 of the family's 1533-position model. The record is from RNAcentral.
GGCGGCGUGCUAAACAUGCAAGUCGAGCGAGAAAGUGGAGCAAUCCAUGAGUAAAGCGGCGCACGGGUGAGUAACACGUGACUAACCUACCCUCGAGUGGGGGAUAACUUCGGGAAACCGAGGCUAAUACCGCAUAACACCUACGGGUCAAAAGAGCAAUCUGCUUGAGGAGGGGGUCGCGGCCGAUUAGUUAGUUGGCGGGGUAAUGGCCCACCAAGACGAUGAUCGGUAUCCGGCCUGAGAGGGCGCACGGACACACUGGAACUGAAACACGGUCCAGACUCCUACGGGAGGCAGCAGUGGGGAAUUUUGCGCAAUGGGGGAAACCCUGACGCAGCAACGCCGCGUGGAGGAUGAAGUCCUUCGGGACGUAAACUCCUUUCGAUCGGGACGAUUAUGACGGUACCGGAAGAAGAAGCCCCGGCUAACUUCGUGCCAGCAGCCGCGGUAAUACGAGGGGGGCGAGCGUUGUUCGGAAUUAUUGGGCGUAAAGGGUGCGUA